This 304-nucleotide long non-coding RNA is filed under the name Malus domestica (apple). RNAcentral describes it as "long non-coding RNA (MDOM_LNC013665)". The record is from RNAcentral. Lineage: Eukaryota; Viridiplantae; Streptophyta; Magnoliopsida; Rosales; Rosaceae.
GCAGUACAAUUGAUUGCUUACGCAGUACCGGUCAAACGAUGGAAGGCCAAGAACCGCUUAACAAAGGAAAGCUCAAAACUUUGAACAGAAGAAAGAGGAUAAUGCUAGAGAGUUCAAAUUUUUAAAUUAGAAUUUGCAAAUAAAUGGUAUGGUUGUUCAUAAUUGGAUUAUUACCUAAGCAUUAAUUAACGUGCUUAUUUUCUAUUGAUGAUAUAUCAUCUGACCACAGACGAACCCCAAACGUCAAUUCGACGAGCUCCGACACAAAGCUACUUUGCUGGCGAGUUUUGCUAUUGUAUUGGGG